GAGGGUGGGUGUGUGGUGAGAUCAAUGGGUUAGUGGUCAAGAUAAGGGGCCAGAAGUGUGGGGAUGAAGGGUACCAGAGCAAAUGAGCUAGAAUUACUGGAAAUGAAGGCCAAAUAGAAGGAUUUGGAAAUAGAGAUUUCUGGCCAUGUCAUGGUCUAUGGUGUGGCUGUUGAGUGGGUGGCUGCAGUGGAGUGAGGACAAAGGUUGGUGGGGUAGAAAACAUCAAAGAACAAGACCAAGUGGCUCGUUGAGUUGCACAUACAGAUAUUGAAGUUUUGAGAAUUAUUGUAGGAAGAGGGCAGUGAACAUGAUUGUAACCAGGACCUAAAGUCUUCAGUGAAGGAGGAAGGAUGAUUAAGAGAUAAUUGCAAGGCUGCAUUAAGGGAAGAGAAAGAGGCAUGGAAGAAGAGAAAGCAAAGCAUCACAAUAGGCUUGAAAGCACUUUUUGGGACAAAACUUUGUAUGUGUACUGAAAUGUGGAACUUAGUGGAAGCAAACAGAAAUCUACUACGUUUUUAAGGGAGGUAAAUUGCUAUGAAACCAUGAACCUGGAACCAAAAAGCUUUCGACUAUUGAGUCCUAAAACCAGUUUCACGCCAGCAUACUUGCACCAGCAGAAGGCUGGCUGUUGAAGCUGGGUAACUGCCAAAGGUUGCAUUCUCCCCAAUAUCCACUGUAGAUAUAGCCAUGGUGGAUAAUGGAAAAGGGAGACCCUUCAAUCAAAAGGGAAGAGUCAGGUCACAGAGGACGGUGACAAAGGAGUUCUUCUCAGAAAACAGAAUCAGAGUUGAAUAUAAGAACUUAGUCUGAGGCCUUCAUAAUGCUCUCCAAGCAGGAUUUCAGAAUUGCUAUGAACCAUAAUGGGCGUGUGUGUUUUCCUUCUUUUCAAACAAGGUCUUUAAUUUGCUGUUACUCUGUCCCUGUGCCACCAUUGUAUAUUGGGUGUGUGUAGAGUAGGGGGUGGGUUGGGGGGCAGAUAAUUUUUCUUUUUAGUUCAUAGGUCACUGGACCACCAAGAGACCUGAUGGAGAUACUGGAACAUUGGCGAUCUUGAGCUUUGACCUGGAUGUGCUGACAGGGGAUGUGAAAAGUCAAGGAGAAUGAUGCAAAAAUACUCAUGAACUAUCCGGUGCUGAACAAAUAGAGGGAAGAUAAUGAUGCU
Molecule: long non-coding RNA, 1162 nt
Filed under: Homo sapiens (human)
Lineage: Eukaryota; Metazoa; Chordata; Mammalia; Primates; Hominidae
Description: HSALNT0362791
Source: RNAcentral